Long non-coding RNA from Salvia miltiorrhiza (redroot sage), 499 nucleotides. RefSeq lists it as uncharacterized. Lineage: Eukaryota; Viridiplantae; Streptophyta; Magnoliopsida; Lamiales; Lamiaceae. The record is from RefSeq and is a predicted model, not a curated record. The transcript has 3 exons.
CAUCACUACCCACUACCACCACCAACUCCCAGCCAAACCCACUGAUAUACUUCACCCAUCCCCUUCCACUUUUACUCAAUCUCCCACACAAUUUGCCAUAUUUCACUUUCAAAAGGAAACCCAACGAACAAGUGCAGAGGCUUUGAGCAUCAGAAGGAUUAGCACUGCUAUUCCGAUUCAGAGAUAAGGUUAAACGACAGGCUUUGCCUAUACAGGUUGAGCAGUUGAUGGAAUGGAAUGAUGUUGAGCGGGUGUUCCUGUGAUAUUUCAAGAAAUGUAACCUUGAGUAUACAUCUUCAUAUGUAUAUCUCACACGUUUUCCGCUGCAAAACACUUUGAUUAAGAUAGCUCUAUGAUAUGAAGUUGUGAUACGUGUUAUUGGGUAACCACCUUAAUCAGUUCUCAAUUAUGUGUAUCCAAAUAAUCAUAUAUGAUCCUAGCAUUUUAUCUAUGAGUGACAUUUUCAUAUACUUUAAUGUUAAGUAAUUGUCCAUUUCCA